This 651-nucleotide ribosomal RNA is filed under the name Coltricia cinnamomea. RNAcentral describes it as "LSU rRNA". It matches the Rfam family "Eukaryotic large subunit ribosomal RNA", at positions 38 to 667 of the family's 3401-position model. Lineage: Eukaryota; Fungi; Basidiomycota; Agaricomycetes; Hymenochaetales; Hymenochaetaceae. The record is from RNAcentral.
GCAUAUCAAUAAGCGGAGGAAAAGAAACUAACAAGGAUUCCCCUAGUAACUGCGAGUGAAGCGGGAAGAGCUCAAAUUUUAAAUCUGGCAGCUUUGCUGUCCGAGUUGUAAUCUGUAGAAGUGUUUUCUGCAUUGGACCGUGUACAAGUCUCUUGGAACAGAGCGUCAUAGAGGGUGAGAAUCCCGUCCAUGACAUGGACUACCAAUGCUUUGUGAUACACUCUCAAAGAGUCGAGUUGUUUGGGAAUGCAGCUCAAAAUGGGUGGUAAAUUCCAUCUAAAGCUAAAUACAAGCGAGAGACCGAUAGUGAACAAGUACCGUGAGGGAAAGAUGAAAAGCACUUUGGAAAGAGAGUUAAACAGUAUGUGAAAUUGUUGAAAGGGAAACACUUGAAGUCAGUCACAUUCUGCAGGACUCAGCCUUGUCCUUAGGGACUUGGUGUAUUUCCUGCAGAAUGGGUCAACAUCAAUCUUGGUCAGUGGAUAAAGGAGGAGGGAAUGUAGCACCUUUGCAGGUGUGUUAUAGCCCUCUUUCAUAUACAUUGGCUGGGAUUGAGGACUGCAGCAUGCCCUCUGGGGCCAGGACUUAUCAUGUCUCAUGCUUAGGAUGUUGACAAAAUGGCUUUAAGUGACCCGUCUUGAAACACGGACC